Long non-coding RNA from Gymnodraco acuticeps, 537 nucleotides. RefSeq lists it as uncharacterized. The transcript is spliced from 2 exons. The record is from RefSeq and is a predicted model, not a curated record. Lineage: Eukaryota; Metazoa; Chordata; Actinopteri; Perciformes; Bathydraconidae.
CGCUGCUACCACAUGGUAGUAUUUUAGGUCCCCGUCACGGACCUGUCGGCAGGCGAAAUGUGCCUCCACGUGUGCGAACCAUGCCUCCGCGGCGUGCUCCCAGAAUUCCGGCAGCUUUAUGAAAAGCGUGACUCAUUUAAUUACAGACAGGCCAGUGUGCGAAAAAGUGCACGUCCCACCGUCCGGGACGGGUUAUUCACAACAUUGGACAAGUAGAUUUUUAAAUUGACUUGUCCAAUGGACAAGUGACAUUUUUCGCCGCUAUUUAUUGACAAAUUAUUGAUAAAUUCAGCUUACAAAAGGCAUAACUCAUUCGCAAAUUGUCCGUGUCCGCCGUUGUUGUUUGCAACCGCUUUACGUUUUUUUACUCACUUACGUCGUGUCGUAAAACUGUGUGAAAAUGAAAUACGAUGGCGAAGAAGAAGGUUCUAGUGGCCCCAAGAGGGCAACAAAAGAUUUCUUUCUUUUCUAAGAAGGUUUGUACACAUCAUUCUCACAGUUGUAAAAUGGUGUGUUACAUUAACAAGGAAAAUAAUU